RNAcentral lists this ribosomal RNA (497 nucleotides) under uncultured bacterium. RNAcentral describes it as "partial 16S ribosomal RNA". It matches the Rfam family "Bacterial small subunit ribosomal RNA", at positions 28 to 507 of the family's 1533-position model. The record is from RNAcentral.
GAUGAACGCUGGCGGCGUGCCUAAUACAUGCAAGUCGAGCGAACGGACGAGAAGCUUGCUUCUCUGAUGUUAGCGGCGGACGGGUGAGUAACACGUGGAUAACCUACCUAUAAGACUGGGAUAACUUCGGGAAACCGUAGCUAAUACCGGAUAAUAUUUUGAACCGCAUGGCUCAAAAGUGGAAGACGGUCUUGCUGUCACUUAUAGAUGGAUCCGCGCUGCAUUAGCUAGUUGGUAAGGUAACGGCUUACCAAGGCAACGAUGCAUAGCCGACCUGAGAGGGUGAUCGGCCACACUGGAACUGAGACACGGUCCAGACUCCUACGGGAGGCAGCAGUAGGGAAUCUUCCGCAAUGGGCGAAAGCCUGACGGAGCAACGCCGCGUGAGUGAUGAAGGUCUUCGGAUCGUAAAACUCUGUUAUUAGGGAAGAACAUAUGUGUAAGUAACUGUGCACAUCUUGACGGUACCUAAUCAGAAAGCCACGGCUAACUACGUG